This is a long non-coding RNA of Dipodomys spectabilis (banner-tailed kangaroo rat), 291 nucleotides long. RefSeq lists it as uncharacterized. Lineage: Eukaryota; Metazoa; Chordata; Mammalia; Rodentia; Heteromyidae. The record is from RefSeq and is a predicted model, not a curated record. The transcript has 3 exons.
AGGCAGGAAGUGGCUCUGCAGGAAUUGAGGGAGACUUCGAGGGAGAGGAGCCUUGCUGGGUCCGCCAGAUCUUCAGUGGUGAGCACCCCCCAGCCUGCCCCAGGGCAUGCCCCAGUUCACUUUCGCCUGUUUCUGUGGCCUCCACGGCUUCUGCAAGAUGAAGAGGAAGAAGGAAGAGAUUCACAGAGAGCGGGAAACGGCCGUGGAGACAGACACUUGGCUUCUCCCGGCAUCUUUGAAAGGAUUCUGGAAACCUGUUUCCACCGCUGUGCCCUUGGGUGAGCACAGGAC